CGGAAUAAUAAUAAAAACUAUAAUGAUAUUUUAUAAUAUUUUCGGCUUCGUGAUUUCGGGCAUGAAAGGAAUUUCGGCGUAGGUAUUUGACGCUUCAAGUUAUAGGGGGAGAGAGGAAAUCAUUAAAAUUUAAUUUAAUCCGAACGUAAAAACGCGAACGAUAUUUUUAAAAAUUUUUCAAAUGUAAUUUAACCCGCGGUAUUAUAUAAAGUAUAAAAUAUUCAUACGAUAGUCGAAAAUUCUGCACGUCUCUAGGAUCAGUGGUGCCCAACCUUUCGCCCGACCACGACCUUCAAAUUUAAUUAUUUCGGCGAUCCCCUACUGACGUUACAGGCAAUUUAUAUCCGUACAAACGAAAUCGUUAAUUUUAAGCAAUUCGAUAUUAAUCAUUUUAUUCGAUUCGUUUGAAGUAUAUAAAUAUAAUAAAAAUCAAAUCUCAAAAUUAAUACACAGUUACAGUUGACUUCAAAAAAAAAAAAAAAAAAAUUAAAAUUAUAAAAUAUGACAAACGAUUCAACGAGAAACUUGUGCUUACAUUUUUAUACAUGAUCGAUUCUAAUUCGGGUUUUAUGAUUGAGACUAUCAAUGUUAAAUAAUCCGUUUCGACAUUCAAUCCGGAUCGAUAUUGGUUUUUUUUUGUUAUCGCCGGAGUUUGUCAUUACAUAAUAAUUAAUAGUAUAUACAGUUUCGAUUCGUUUGACAAUAAUUCAUAUAUUAUUAUAAUACUACGUGAACUGUCAAGUUCAAACUCCGAACCAUUUAACAACACAUUUUAAUAGAUUCAACAGAACUUGUUAUCGCGAAAAU
Molecule: non-coding RNA, 807 nt
Organism: Cinara cedri
Lineage: Eukaryota; Metazoa; Arthropoda; Insecta; Hemiptera; Aphididae
Source: the annotation of a GenBank genome assembly